UAGGGAAUCUUCGGCAAUGGGGGGAACCCUGACCGAGCAACGCCGCGUGAGUGAAGAAGGUUUUCGGAUCGUAAAACUCUGUUGUUAAGGAAGAACGAGUGUGAGAAUGGAAAGUUCAUGCUGUUACGGUACUUAACCAGAAAGGGACGGCUAACUACGUGCCAGCAGCCGCGGUAAUACGUAGGUCCCGAGCGUUGUCCGGAUUUAUUGGGCGUAAAGCGAGCGCAGGCGGUUAGAUAAGUCUGAAGUUAAAGGCAGUGGCUCAACCAUUGUAGGCUUUGGAAACUGUUUAACUUGAGUGCAGAAGGGGGGAGUGGAAUUCCAUGUGUAGCGGUGAAAUGCGUAGAUAUAUGGAGGAACACCGGUGGCGAAAGCGGCUCUCUGGUCUGUAACUGACGCUGAGGCUCGAAAGCGUGGGGAGCGAACAGG
RNAcentral lists this ribosomal RNA (429 nucleotides) under Bacteroidota bacterium. Its description in RNAcentral is "Bacteroidetes bacterium partial 16S ribosomal RNA". It matches the Rfam family "Bacterial small subunit ribosomal RNA", at positions 355 to 776 of the family's 1533-position model. Lineage: Bacteria; Pseudomonadati; Bacteroidota. The record is from RNAcentral.